This 254-nucleotide ribosomal RNA is filed under the name uncultured bacterium. RNAcentral describes it as "partial 16S ribosomal RNA". It matches the Rfam family "Bacterial small subunit ribosomal RNA", at positions 524 to 776 of the family's 1533-position model. The record is from RNAcentral.
UGCGGGGGGAGCAAGCGUUGUUCGGAUUUACUGGGCGUAAAGGGCGCGUAGGCGGCCACCGCAAGUCGACUGUGAAAUCUCCGGGCUUAACCCGGAAAGGUCAGCCGAUACUGCGGGGCUAGAGUGCAGGAGGGGCAACUGGAAUUCUCGGUGUAGCGGUGAAAUGCGUAGAUAUCGAGAGGAACACCUGCGGCGAAGGCGGGUUGCUGGGCUGACACUGACGCUGAGGCGCGAAAGCUAGGGGAGCGAACGGG